This is a non-coding RNA of Paramuricea clavata, 135 nucleotides long. Lineage: Eukaryota; Metazoa; Cnidaria; Anthozoa; Malacalcyonacea; Plexauridae. The record is from the annotation of a GenBank genome assembly.
CAAUGCUCUUUCAACUAAGCUACGCGGUCAGGACGGUUCGAGUAUGUGAUUGGUAUCGAAGGAACUAGAUUCUGUUCCGAAAUAUCACUUACUCGAACCGUCCUGACCGCGUAGCUCAGUUGAAAGAGCAUUGGG